RNAcentral lists this ribosomal RNA (497 nucleotides) under uncultured bacterium. RNAcentral's name for it is "partial 16S ribosomal RNA". It matches the Rfam family "Bacterial small subunit ribosomal RNA", at positions 28 to 507 of the family's 1533-position model. The record is from RNAcentral.
GAUGAACGCUGGCGGCGUGCCUAAUACAUGCAAGUCGAGCGAACGGACGAGAAGCUUGCUUCUCUGAUGUUAGCGGCGGACGGGUGAGUAACACGUGGAUAACCUACCUAUAAGACUGGGAUAACUUCGGGAAACCGGAGCUAAUACCGGAUAAUAUCUUGAACCGCAUGGUUCAAAAGUGAAAGACGGUCUUGCUGUCACUUAUAGAUGGAUCCGCGCUGCAUUAGCUAGUUGGUAAGUUAACGGCUUACCAAGGCAACGAGGCAUAGCCGACCUGAGAGGGUGGUCGGCCACCCUGGAACGGAGCCACGGACCAGACGCCUGCGGGAGGCAGCAGUAGGGAAUCUUACGCAAUGGGCGAAAGCCUGACGGAGCAGCGCCGCGUGAGUGAUGAAGGUCUUCGGAGCGUAAAGCUCUGUUAUUAGGGAAGAACAUAUGUGUAAGUAACUGAGCACAGCGUGACGGUACCUAAUCAGAAAGCCACGGCUAACUACGUG